Molecule: small nuclear RNA, 65 nt
Filed under: Phascolarctos cinereus (koala)
Lineage: Eukaryota; Metazoa; Chordata; Mammalia; Diprotodontia; Phascolarctidae
Source: RNAcentral
GUGCUCCUUUUGGCAGCACAUAUGCUAAAAUUGGAAUGAUACAAAGAAGAUUAGCAUGCCCCUGC